UACGUAGGGUGCGAGCGUUGUCCGGAAUUAUUGGGCGUAAAGAGCUCGUAGGCGGCUUGUUGCGUCGACUGUGAAAACCCGCGGCUCAACCGCGUGGCUUGCAGUCGAUACGGGCAGGCUAGAAUUCGGUAGGGGAGACUGGAAUUCCUGGUGUAGCGGUGAAAUGCGCAGAUAUCAGGAGGAACACCGGUGGCGAAGGCGGGUCUCUGGGCCGAUAUUGACGCUGAGGAGCGAAAGCGUGGGGAGCGAACAGG
This 254-nucleotide ribosomal RNA is filed under the name uncultured bacterium. RNAcentral describes it as "partial 16S ribosomal RNA". It matches the Rfam family "Bacterial small subunit ribosomal RNA", at positions 524 to 776 of the family's 1533-position model. The record is from RNAcentral.